GUGGGGAAUAUUGGACAAUGGGGGGAACCCUGAUCCAGCCAUGCCGCGUGUGUGAAGAAGGCCUUUUGGUUGUAAAGCACUUUAAGCGAGGAGGAGGCUACCGAGAUUAAUACUCUUGGAUAGUGGACGUUACUCGCAGAAUAAGCACCGGCUAACUCUGUGCCAGCAGCCGCGGUAAUACAGAGGGUGCAAGCGUUAAUCGGAUUUACUGGGCGUAAAGCGCGCGUAGGUGGCCAAUUAAGUCAAAUGUGAAAUCCCCGAGCUUAACUUGGGAAUUGCAUUCGAUACUGGUUGGCUAGAGUAUGGGAGAGGAUGGUGGAAUUCCAGGUGUAGCGGUGAAAUGCGUAGAGAUCUGGAGGAAUACCGAUGGCGAAGGCAGCCAUCUGGCCUAAUACUGACACUGAGGUGCGAAAGCAUGGGGAGCAAACAGGAUUAGAUACCCGAGUAGUCC
RNAcentral lists this ribosomal RNA (451 nucleotides) under uncultured bacterium. Its description in RNAcentral is "partial 16S ribosomal RNA". It matches the Rfam family "Bacterial small subunit ribosomal RNA", at positions 354 to 796 of the family's 1533-position model. The record is from RNAcentral.